AUGGAGUUUACAGAAAGUGUUUUGUUUCCGCAGGGCGAAACAGGGGUGCAAGGUUUGAAAGGAGACCGGGGUGAUGUGGGGCCCCCCGGCAAGGCCAUUCAGAUGAAGGACAUUGAAGCCAUGUUCGAAGCCUAUGGAAUCAGGCUGCCCCUGCUCAAGGCCCUGGUGGACCACCUGCUGCAGGACGGAGUGGAGGAGCUGCUGCACGUGCUCAGCUCCACCAAGAGGCUCCAGGAGGUCAAGGAGACGCACGGCUCCAACGCCAUCCCUGAAUACACAAACUCUCUGGAGUAUGAGCUGAGCAGCCAGCCCCUGACGAAGGAGGGGUACCUGCCCGAUGUGGACGGACAGACGCCCCCGCCCGCCCCUGCUGACGUGCUCAACGGAACCACGGUGGGCCAAAGUACAUCAUGGGAGCUGUCGGGGGCGGACCGGGCCCCGGAGCCCAACGUCACCCAGAGCCGGCCCGACGGCCCCGGGCUGCAGGGCCGUCUGGAGGGCAACGUCAGCGCUGAUACCCCCCGGCUCCAGAUGAACCUGACCCUGGUCAACGCUCCGUCCAACGACAGUACAUCCAAGGAGAAGAUCUCCCGCCUGCCGGAGGUCGUCAUGGAGACGGGGGUUGUCACACAGGAGGAGGCUGAGAAGAAGGGUUCGGCAGAGAAGAAGAAGAACAAGGAACGCGGGAAGGGCAGAGGGAACAAAGGACGACAUAAGAGGCAGAGACAACGCCUGGUAAAUGCCCUUGAAGCUGGGUUCAAAAACAACAAGAAAUAA
Molecule: long non-coding RNA, 777 nt
Filed under: Gadus morhua (Atlantic cod)
Lineage: Eukaryota; Metazoa; Chordata; Actinopteri; Gadiformes; Gadidae
Description: lncRNA (ENSGMOG00000030181.1)
Source: RNAcentral